Molecule: ribosomal RNA, 852 nt
Filed under: uncultured bacterium
Lineage: Bacteria
Description: bacterial SSU rRNA
Rfam family: Bacterial small subunit ribosomal RNA
Source: RNAcentral
AGAGUUUGAUCCUGGCUCAGGAUGAACGCUGGCGGCGCGCCUAACACAUGCAAGUCGAACGGCACCCAUCUUCGGAUGGAAGCGAGUGGCGAACGGCUGAGUAACACGUGGAGAACCUGCCCCCUCCCCCGGGAUAGCCGCCCGAAAGGACGGGUAAUACCGGAUACCCCGGGGUGCCGCAUGGCACCCCGGCUAAAGCCCCGACGGGAGGGGAUGGCUCCGCGGCCCAUCAGGUAGACGGCGGGGUGACGGCCCACCGUGCCGACAACGGGUAGCCGGGUUGAGAGACCGACCGGCCAGAUUGGGACUGAGACACGGCCCAGACUCCUACGGGAGGCAGCAGUGGGGAAUCUUGCGCAAUGGGGGGAACCCUGACGCAGCGACGCCGCGUGCGGGACGGAGGCCUUCGGGUCGUAAACCGCUUUCAGCAGGGAAGAGUCAAGACUGUACCUGCAGAAGAAGCCCCGGCUAACUACGUGCCAGCAGCCGCGGUAAUACGUAGGGGGCGAGCGUUAUCCGGAUUCAUUGGGCGUAAAGCGCGCGUAGGCGGCCCGGCAGGCCGGGGGUCGAAGCGGGGGGCUCAACCCCCCGAAGCCCCCGGAACCUCCGCGGCUUGGGUCCGGUAGGGGAGGGUGGAACACCCGGUGUAGCGGUGGAAUGCGCAGAUAUCGGGUGGAACACCGGUGGCGAAGGCGGCCCUCUGGGCCGAGACCGACGCUGAGGCGCGAAAGCUGGGGGAGCGAACAGGAUUAGAUACCCUGGUAGUCCCAGCCGUAAACGAUGGACGCUAGGUGUGGGGGGACGAUCCCCCCGUGCCGCAGCCAACGCAUUAAGCGUCCCGCCUGGGGAGUA